AGAGUUUGAUCCUGGCUCAGAACGAACGCUGGCGGCAGGCCUCAAACAUGCAAGUCUAGGGGGUGUAGCAAUACAUCACCGGCGGACGGGUGCGUAACGCGUGGGAAUAUACCUAUUGGUUCGGAACAACUGAGGGAAACUUCAGCUAAUACCGGAUAAGCCCUUACGGGGAAAGAUUUCUCGCCAAUAGAUUAGCCCGCGUCCGAUUAGCUAGUUGGUGGGGUAAAAGCCUACCAAGGCAACGAUCGGUAGCUGUUCUGAGAGGAAGAUCAGCCACACUGGGACUGAGACACGGCCCAGACUCCUACGGGAGGCAGCAGUUGGGAAUCUUGGACAAUGGGGGAAACCCUGAUCCAGCCAUGCCGCGUGAGUGAUGAAGGCCUUCGGGUUGUAAAACUCUUUCGACGGGGACGAUAAUGACGGUACCCGUAGAAGAAGCUCCGGCUAACUUCGUGCCAGCAGCCGCGGUAAUACGAAGGGGGCUAGCGUUGUUCGGAAUUACUGGGCGUAAAGCGCGCGCAGGCGGUCUUCCAAGUCAGUGGUGAAAGCCCGGAGCUCAACUCCGGAAUUGCCAUUGAAACUGUGAGACUGGAGUACGAGAGAGGUGAGUGGAAUUCCCAGUGUAGAGGUGAAAUUCGUAGAUAUUGGGAAGAACACCGGUGGCGAAGGCGGCUCACUGGCUCGUAACUGACGCUCAGGCGCGACAGCGUGGGGAUCAAACAGGAUUAGAUACCCUAGUAGUCC
Molecule: ribosomal RNA, 744 nt
Filed under: uncultured bacterium
Lineage: Bacteria
Description: bacterial SSU rRNA
Rfam family: Bacterial small subunit ribosomal RNA
Source: RNAcentral